Molecule: small RNA, 147 nt
Filed under: Paenibacillus sp.
Lineage: Bacteria; Bacillati; Bacillota; Bacilli; Caryophanales; Paenibacillaceae
Also listed under: 1 other name
Description: c-di-AMP sequence
Rfam family: c-di-AMP riboswitch aptamer (ydaO/yuaA leader)
About the family: This family represents a conserved RNA structure found upstream of the ydaO and yuaA genes in Bacillus subtilis and related genes in other bacteria. The ydaO/yuaA element is thought to act as a genetic "off" switch for the ydaO and yuaA genes in its native state.
Source: RNAcentral
CGAAUAUUCCAGCCGAAUUUCGAUUUGAAAAUGGGGGAACCAUGUAAUUGGGGUGAAUUUCAUGAUUCUGUAAGGAUCGUGGAUAGGGCGACCUGUGACAAGGCCCGAAUCCGUCAGCUAACCUCGUAGGCUGUGCACAGGAACCAG